UUGGAAUCGAACUCCCCGGAAUCAGCCGCCCCAGCAUAAUAGGAGCUGGACUUCUCGGCCCGAUCGUAGGCGUUUCCACCGGAGAACUUGCUCUUCCGCUCGCACUCCAGCUGCUUGACUUUGUCCUGUGGAUAUUCGGAGCACUAUUCCAGAUCCUGACCAACCCAUUUAGAGAUACGAAUUGCCAGUGCUGAUGAACUCAGCCCCUUGUUAUUUAUUUCCACUCACGCCGGCUGCAAGUGCAAUCUUGGCAGCCAUAAUUUGUAACUCAUCGCAGACAUGGCAUCACCCCGGAUUUGAGUUGGAAACAUCAUUAAUAUAAAAUCUGCUGCGUAAUCAGACUCAGACGCAGACUAAUCAAGUUAUCACCGAUCCGCCCCCAAUCUGCCUUGACAUCCACACUUGGAAAAAGCCAGAGAUUCUUUUGUAGUUAUUAAUGAAAAAUUGAGAUUGAUUCAAAACUUUUACCAGCCAUAAACCAAGUUAUGAGCCAAAUUUACAUUUUCUAGUUUUGGUAACAACUUUCAAAGGCGAUUUUCAAAACGUUGGCAUAAAAUUUUAAGACGUUUUAUUAAUCAUUAUUUACCCACUUACCGCACUAUUGAUGUCGGCCCGUCCCAUCUCGGACUGCUGCUUCUGGGUGCGGACAUCGUCCA
Molecule: long non-coding RNA, 656 nt
Organism: Drosophila gunungcola (fruit fly)
Lineage: Eukaryota; Metazoa; Arthropoda; Insecta; Diptera; Drosophilidae
Exons: 3
Source: RefSeq, a predicted model, not a curated record